AAAAACAUUUCCUCUUGGUAUAAGAGGUAAGGCCUGCUCACUGACUAGGUUGAAGAGCCGCAGUAUAUUGACUGUGCUAAGGUAGCAUAAUCAUUAGUCCUUUAAUUGGGGACUGGUAUGAAUGGCUAAACGAGAAAUUAGCUUUCUUUGUUAUGGUUUGUUGAAUUUAACUUGUAAGUGAAAAGGCUUACAUGAUUCAGAAAGACGAGAAGACCCUAUAGAGUUUUACAAAGGCCUAAAAUACAGCUUAUUAGUUUUAAAGGGUUAUAUUUUGGAAAUUUGUUUGGUUGGGGCGACAUAAAGAUAAAAAAAACUCUUUGUAGUAUAAACUUUGGUGGAAGAAAAGGUUUGAUCCUCUAAAAGGGAUUAUAAGAAAAAAUUACCUUAGGGAUAACAGCGUAAUCUUCUUUUAGAGUUCAAAUCGACAAGAAGGUUUGCGACCUCGAUGUUGGACUAAAAUUUGGGCAAGGUGCAGCAGCUUUGUUUUUGGGUCUGUUCGACCCGUAAUAUUUUACAUGAUCUGAGUU
This 527-nucleotide ribosomal RNA is filed under the name Capitulum mitella. Its description in RNAcentral is "partial large subunit ribosomal RNA". It matches the Rfam family "Bacterial large subunit ribosomal RNA", at positions 1809 to 2611 of the family's 2925-position model. The record is from RNAcentral. Lineage: Eukaryota; Metazoa; Arthropoda; Thecostraca; Pollicipedomorpha; Pollicipedidae.